CGCCUUGUUUAACAAAAACAUGUCCUAUAGAUUUAAUAAUUUUAGGUCUAGUCUGCCCAAUGAUUUAUUUAAUGGCUGCAGUAUUUUAACUGACGAAGGUAGCAUAAUCAUUUGUCUUUUAAUUGGAGGCUUGUAUGAAUGGCUGGACGAGGAACUUACUUUUUUUAUUUAAAUUUUAUGAAUUUAAUUUUUUAGUCAAAAAGCUAAAAUUUUUUUGCAAGACGAGAAGACCCUAUAGAAUUUUAUUUAUUUAUAUUAAUUAAGUAUUAAGUUAUUUAAUUAUUUUAUUUAUGUAAAUAAAUUUUGUUGGGGUGACAGUGAAAUUUAAAUAACUUUCAUAUAUAUAAUUCAUUGAUUUAUGUAAAAUUGAUCCCUUUUUAUUAGGAUUAUUAGAUUAAAUUACCUUAGGGAUAACAGCGUAAUUUUUUUGGAGAGUUCUUAUCGAUGAAAAAGUUUGCGACCUCGAUGUUGG
Molecule: ribosomal RNA, 472 nt
Filed under: Riptortus pedestris
Lineage: Eukaryota; Metazoa; Arthropoda; Insecta; Hemiptera; Alydidae
Description: partial 16S ribosomal RNA
Rfam family: Bacterial large subunit ribosomal RNA
Source: RNAcentral